Long non-coding RNA from Syngnathus acus (greater pipefish), 814 nucleotides. RefSeq lists it as uncharacterized. The record is from RefSeq and is a predicted model, not a curated record. NCBI's taxonomy places the organism in Eukaryota, Metazoa, Chordata, Actinopteri, Syngnathiformes, Syngnathidae. The transcript is spliced from 2 exons.
UGUGCCUUAUAAUCCGGUGCGCCUUAUUGUGCGGAAAAUACGGUACUAAAAACAUGUGCAGAACACAUUUGGGCAAAGAAUGAGAACUGGUUCGCAUUUGUCUGCUGUAUGAACCUAGCUAAUGAUUUGACCUACAGCAGAGGUGGGUAUGUUGAUUUAUUGACAUUAAUAUAGUGUAGCAAUUGGAUAUCGACGACACUCAUAUAAUAUCGAUAUGGGUGCACGAAGCACGCUGGCGACACAUACCGUCAGAGCAUCAAGCAGGAGAAGAUGGACGCUAUGUAAGCAAGAUAAAAAAGGGAGAUCACACUGGGAUUUCCUCAAAGUAGAGUAAAACAUUUUUUUCUCCAAAUCAAUCCUAAAUUUGUAAAAUUCCCACUCUGCUGGCCCAUCUAAUGAAAGGUCUGAAAGACUUGUUCCAGUCACUUAACCAUCUCGGUUCCCUUUUGUCUCUUGUGUCUUUUGGGGUGGGUAAGGAGGGGGGUCAAAGCGUGUAAUUGGCUUGGCCUGUUCAGGUGAAAGCCCACCUCUUGUCUGCGGACAUAAAACCGUCUCCAAGUGUGUGUCUGCAGUGUGGCAAGGUUAAAAGGACAUGCCGUGUUGGGACGAACACACACAGUCAAACAGAGAGCACCUCUUCAUUCAUGCUUCAGCCCCAACAAUCAGCCCAGAUACCUGGGGAAGCGCUCAGCGAAAGUAAGUUGCCGUGACUACUUCCACCGGCAGUGUCAAUGUAAUGGAAGAGAAAAGAAGAUGAUGCCAAUGGCACUGACGAAGGAAAAAAAAUGAUAUAGAAGAUGAAGUCGCUGCAAGG